AGUGAACGCUGGCGGUAGGCUUAACACAUGCAAGUCGAACGGCAGCACAGUAAGAGCUUGCUCUUACGGGUGGCGAGUGGCGGACGGGUGAGGAAUACAUCGGAAUCUACUUUUUCGUGGGGGUUAACGUAGGGAAACUUACGCUGAUACCGCAUACGACCUACGGGUGAAAGCAGGGGAUCUUCGGACCUUGCGCGAUUGAAUGAGCCGAUGUUGGAUUAGUUAGUUGGCGGGGUACAGGCCCACCAAGGCGACGAUCCGUAGCUGGUCUGAGAGGAUGAUCAGCCACACGGGAACUGAGACACGGUCCAGACUCCUACGGGAGGCAGCAGUGGCGAAUAUUGGACAGUGGGCGCGAGCCUGAUCCAGCCGUACCGCGUGGGUUAAGAAGACCUUCGGGUUGUAAAGCCCUUUUGUUGGGAGAGAAAAGCAGCAGGUUAAUACCCCGCUGUUCUGACGGUACCCAAAGAAUAAGCACCGGCUAACUUCGUG
This 492-nucleotide ribosomal RNA is filed under the name uncultured bacterium. RNAcentral describes it as "partial 16S ribosomal RNA". It matches the Rfam family "Bacterial small subunit ribosomal RNA", at positions 29 to 507 of the family's 1533-position model. The record is from RNAcentral.